RNAcentral lists this ribosomal RNA (925 nucleotides) under Alternaria longipes. RNAcentral describes it as "eukaryotic LSU rRNA". It matches the Rfam family "Eukaryotic large subunit ribosomal RNA", at positions 28 to 973 of the family's 3401-position model. Lineage: Eukaryota; Fungi; Ascomycota; Dothideomycetes; Pleosporales; Pleosporaceae. The record is from RNAcentral.
CGUGAAAUAAGCAUAUCAAUAAGCGGAGGAAAAGAAACCAACAGGGAUUGCCCUAGUAACGGCGAGUGAAGCGGCAACAGCUCAAAUUUGAAAUCUGGCUCUUUUAGAGUCCGAGUUGUAAUUUGCAGAGGGCGCUUUGGCUUUGGCAGCGGUCCAAGUUCCUUGGAACAGGACGUCACAGAGGGUGAGAAUCCCGUACGUGGUCGCUGGCUAUUGCCGUGUAAAGCCCCUUCGACGAGUCGAGUUGUUUGGGAAUGCAGCUCUAAAUGGGAGGUACAUUUCUUCUAAAGCUAAAUAUUGGCCAGAGACCGAUAGCGCACAAGUAGAGUGAUCGAAAGAUGAAAAGCACUUUGGAAAGAGAGUCAAACAGCACGUGAAAUUGUUGAAAGGGAAGCGCUUGCAGCCAGACUUGCUUGCAGUUGCUCAUCCGGGUUUUUACCCGGUGCACUCUUCUGUAGGCAGGCCAGCAUCAGUUUGGGCGGUAGGAUAAAGGUCUCUGUCACGUACCUCCUUUCGGGGAGGCCUUAUAGGGGAGACGACAUACUACCAGCCUGGACUGAGGUCCGCGCAUCUGCUAGGAUGCUGGCGUAAUGGCUGUAAGCGGCCCGUCUUGAAACACGGACCAAGGAGUCUAACAUCUAUGCGAGUGUUUGGGUGUCAAGCCCGAGCGCGUAAUGAAAGUGAACGGAGGUGGGAACCCGCAAGGGUGCACCAUCGACCGAUCCUGAUGUCUUCGGAAGGAUUUGAGUAAGAGCAUGGCUGUUGGGACCCGAAAGAUGGUGAACUAUGCUUGAAUAGGGUGAAGCCAGAGGAAACUCUGGUGGAGGCUCGCAGCGGUUCUGACGUGCAAAUCGAUCGUCAAAUUUGGGCAUAGGGGCGAAAGACUAAUCGAACUAUCUAGUAGCUGGUUCCUGCCGAUUUUCCU